RNAcentral lists this ribosomal RNA (426 nucleotides) under uncultured bacterium. RNAcentral describes it as "bacterial SSU rRNA". It matches the Rfam family "Bacterial small subunit ribosomal RNA", at positions 85 to 544 of the family's 1533-position model. The record is from RNAcentral.
UUCGGCCUUAGUGGCGCACGGGUGAGUAACGCGUGGGAACCGGCCCUUGAGUGGAGGAUAACCUCGGGAAACUGAGGCUAAUACCGCAUAUGCCCUGAGGGGCAAAGACGCAAGUCGCUUGAGGAAGGGCCCGCGCCCGAUUAGGUAGUUGGUGUGGUAAAGGCGCACCAAGCCGACGAUCGGUAGCUGGUCUGAGAGGAUGAUCAGCCACACUGGGACUGAGACACGGCCCAGACUCCUACGGGAGGCAGCAGUGGGGAAUAUUGGACAAUGGGCGCAAGCCUGAUCCAGCCAUGCCGCGUGAGUGAAGAAGGCCUUCGGGCUGUAAAGCUCUUUCAGCGGGGACGAUGAUGACGGUACCCGCAGAAGAAGCCCCGGCUAACUUCGUGCCAGCAGCCGCGGUAAUACGAAGGGGGCUAGCGUUGU